CUUGUCCUGCGAUGUACGUUAGGCCCUUUCGAUUUUUUAACCGAUGACUGUUUCGAGGGAGACAGAACUCUGUGCGGUAUGUCAGGCCCACCUCCGCUUGCGGACGCAUGGGAAGGCAGAGCCCACAGACGGGUCACCCACCUGCUAGGUGCGGGUUAAGAAACAUGGGGCGGACGGCAGAGCGGGGUAUUU
RNAcentral lists this non-coding RNA (192 nucleotides) under Brevibacillus sp. SYP-B805. RNAcentral's name for it is "6S / SsrS RNA". It matches the Rfam family "6S / SsrS RNA". Rfam says of the family: E. coli 6S RNA was the first non coding RNA to be sequenced, but its function was unknown until recently. Lineage: Bacteria; Bacillati; Bacillota; Bacilli; Caryophanales; Paenibacillaceae. The record is from Rfam by way of RNAcentral.